RNAcentral lists this ribosomal RNA (292 nucleotides) under uncultured bacterium. RNAcentral's name for it is "partial 16S ribosomal RNA". It matches the Rfam family "Bacterial small subunit ribosomal RNA", at positions 505 to 796 of the family's 1533-position model. The record is from RNAcentral.
GUGCCAGCAGCCGCGGUAAUACGUAGGGGGCAAGCGUUGUCCGGAAUCAUUGGGCGUAAAGAGCGUGUAGGCGGCCUGAUAAGUCGGUUGUGAAAGUCAAGGGCUCAACCCUUGAAUGCCGGCCGAUACUGUCAGGCUAGAGUCCGGAAGAGGCGAGUGGAAUUCCUGGUGUAGCGGUGAAAUGCGCAGAUAUCAGGAGGAACACCGAUGGCGAAGGCAGCUCGCUGGGACGGUACUGACGCUGAGACGCGAAAGCGUGGGGAGCGAACAGGAUUAGAUACCCUGGUAGUCC